Molecule: non-coding RNA, 224 nt
Filed under: Martinezella freirei
Lineage: Bacteria; Pseudomonadati; Pseudomonadota; Alphaproteobacteria; Hyphomicrobiales; Rhizobiaceae
Source: RNAcentral
AUUAUCGGCAUAACGAAUGGUUCCUGAGCGGCGAUCUGCCGCAUGGGAUGAAAAGGGAAUGUGAAGGGACGGACCCAAUCCGGGCGUUCUCAUCACAGCCGACCCCGCGACUGUAGAGCGGUCAGGGUCUUUCGUUCGGUUUGAAAGGUAUUCCGUCGAUGGUUCGCAUGGGGCGACCGGGCGGGGUAACCGCAGGCCGGAAAAGCCACUGGCGUGGCAUCAUG